GUAAAACACUUUCAGCAAGGGAAAAAAUUAUAUAAAUAAUACUUAUAUUAACUGAUAUUACCUGCAAAAGAAGUACCGGCUAACUCCGUGCCAGCAGCCGCGGUAAUACGGAGGGUACAAGCGUUAAUCGGAAUUAUUGGGCGUAAAGAGUACGUAGGUGGUAUAUUAAGUCAGAUGUGAAAUACUUAAGCUUAACUUAAGAACUGCAUUUGAAACUAAUAAACUAGAGUUUUAUAGAGGGGAGUAGAAUUCCAAGUGUAGCGGUGAAAUGCGUAGAUAUUUGGAGGAAUACCAGAGGCGAAGGCGACUCCCUGGGUAACUAACUGACACUGAGGUACGAAAGCUUGGGGAGCAAACAGGAUUAGAUACCCUGGUAGUCCAUGCUGUAAACGAUGUCAAUUUGAAGAUUGUCAAUAUCUAUUAUUUUAUUAUAAUUUUCGUAGCUAACGCAUUAAAUUGGACCCCGCACUUGGGGGCAUUUACGAACCAGGCAAGGUUUCACAAACUUCCACAUUGAACUUCGAACG
RNAcentral lists this ribosomal RNA (527 nucleotides) under endosymbiont of Sphenophorus levis. Its description in RNAcentral is "bacterial SSU rRNA". The stretch from base 1 to 465 matches the Rfam family "Bacterial small subunit ribosomal RNA", at positions 425 to 873 of the family's 1533-position model. Lineage: Bacteria; Pseudomonadati; Pseudomonadota; Gammaproteobacteria. The record is from RNAcentral.